This 983-nucleotide non-coding RNA is filed under the name Homo sapiens (human). The record is from RNAcentral. Lineage: Eukaryota; Metazoa; Chordata; Mammalia; Primates; Hominidae.
UGCCUGAUCAACUUUCUAGCGGGAGAACGAUCAUGGAGGUGGUGCCAGCUGAGGUGAAUAGUUUGCUUCCAGAGGAAAUAAUGGACACUGGUAUAACUUUAGUGGAUGAUGAUAGUAUUGAGGCUGUUAUUGUUUCAUCCCCAAUUCCCAUGGAGACAGAACUGGAAGAAAUUGUCAACAUAAAUUCUACUGGUGACUCUACAGCCACGCCCAUUUCCACGGAACCAAUCACAGUGUACAGUAACCACACUAACCAAGUUGCAGUGAAUACCACAAUUACUAAAGCAGAUUCUAAUACCACAGUGAAACCAGCUUUUCCAAGUGGCCUUCAAAAACUUGGUGCUCAGACUCCUGUGACUAUAUCAGCCAAUCAGAUUAUUUUAAACAAAGUAUCACAGACAUCUGAUCUUAAACUUGGCAAUCAGACCCUUAAACCAGAUGGACAGAAGUUAAUUUUAACAACUUUGGGCAAGUCUGGUUCACCAAUUGUUUUAGCACUACCCCAUAGCCAACUACCCCAGGCUCAGAAAGUUACAACUCAGGCCCAGUCAGGAGAUGCUAAGUUACCACCGCAGCAAAUUAAAGUAGUUACCAUUGGAGGGAGGCCAGAGGUGAAACCUGUCAUUGGUGUCUCAGCAUUGACCCCAGGAAGUCAACUGAUUAAUACUACAACUCAGCCCUCUGUGUUACAGACCCAACAGUUAAAAACAGUACAGAUUGCUAAGAAGCCUCGAACGCCAACCUCUGGUCCAGUAAUCACGAAGCUGAUCUUUGCAAAACCAAUUAAUAGUAAAGCAGUUACAGGACAGACAACUCAAGUUUCACCACCAGUUAUUGCAGGUAGGGUUCUUUCACAGUCUACUCCCGGAACUCCAUCAAAGACCAUAACAAUAUCUGAAAGUGGUGUUAUUGGAUCAACUUUAAAUUCUACAACACAGACACCAAAUAAAAUAGCCAUCUCACCUUUGAAAUCGCCAAAUAAG